This is a long non-coding RNA of Haliotis rubra (blacklip abalone), 159 nucleotides long. RefSeq lists it as uncharacterized. The record is from RefSeq and is a predicted model, not a curated record. The transcript has 3 exons. NCBI's taxonomy places the organism in Eukaryota, Metazoa, Mollusca, Gastropoda, Lepetellida, Haliotidae.
GGGAAGUUUUUAUUGAUUGAAUACAGUCAAAUCCCCGAUGAGUUGAAUGACGGUGUCUCGAAUAUUGUGCAUAACUCGGAAAGUACCUGUUGGUCCUGACCAUUCCCUGUUAUAGUUGUCAUCAUUUGAAUACGGUUACACGAAUUCGUCUCAUAAAUA